This 460-nucleotide ribosomal RNA is filed under the name uncultured bacterium. RNAcentral's name for it is "partial 16S ribosomal RNA". It matches the Rfam family "Bacterial small subunit ribosomal RNA", at positions 338 to 795 of the family's 1533-position model. The record is from RNAcentral.
CCUACGGGAGGCUGCAGUGAGGAAUAUUGGUCAAUGGACGAGAGUCUGAACCAGCCAAGUAGCGUGAAGGAUGACUGCCCUAUGGGUUGUAAACUUCUUUUAUAUGGGAAUAAAAUGUUCCACGUGUGGGAUUUUGUAUGUACCAUAUGAAUAAGGAUCGGCUAACUCCGUGCCAGCAGCCGCGGUAAUACGUAGGAUCCGAUCGUUAGCCGGAUUUAUUGGGUUUAAAGGGAGCGUAGGUGGAUUGUUAAUGCAGUUGUGAAAGUUUGCGGCUCAACCGUAAAAUUGCAGUUGAAACUGGCAGUCUUGAGUACAGUAGAGGUGGGCGGAAUUCGUGGUGUAGCGGUGAAAUGCUUAGAUAUCACGAAGAACUCCGAUUGCGAAGGCAGUUCACUGGACUGCAACUGACACUGAGGCUCGAAAGUGUGGGUAUCAAACAGGAUUAGAUACCCCUGUAGUC